ACAUACGACCAUACCCAUUGGAGAACUCGGGAUCCCGUCCGCUCUCCCACAGAUAAGCCAGUGAGGGCCGGAGUAGUAGUCGGGUCGGUGACGACCGGCAAAUGCCCAGUGUUAUAUGUU
Ribosomal RNA from Colletotrichum sublineola, 120 nucleotides. Lineage: Eukaryota; Fungi; Ascomycota; Sordariomycetes; Glomerellales; Glomerellaceae. The record is from Rfam.